This 7908-nucleotide long non-coding RNA is filed under the name Homo sapiens (human). RNAcentral describes it as "non-protein coding FALEC:1". The record is from RNAcentral. Lineage: Eukaryota; Metazoa; Chordata; Mammalia; Primates; Hominidae.
GAGACUGUGCCUCAAAAAUAAAAUAAAAUAAAAUAAUGUCUAGUCGGAGAGCCGGGGAGGUGGCGCGCGCCUGUAAUCCCAGCCACCCAAAGAGCUAUGGUCUCGGCACUGCACUUCAACCUGCGAGACCCAGUCUCAAAAAGAAAAAAAAAAGUUUAGUCGGCAGCCAGCAAGGCGGGACGCUGGGAGGCCAGUUCAAAGAGUGUCGUCCCAAGUGCCGGAGGGACGGAGCUGUAGCCCCCAACCUGAGCUGGACCCGAGGGUGGCGGUGACUAGGACUCUCAAGCCCUACAAAGCUGCUCCCAGGAACCCGAGGCCUCAAGGCUGGAUCUGAAAGAAUCGGAAUGAAGACUCGGAAUGAAGAGUCCCAGGGGAACAAGUCCUGUGUGACUCCGCCGCCAGGACGACCUUCCAGAAAGCAGACUUCUCCGCUCCAGUUCUAGCGGAGACGGAGAGAGUGAACCAAGAACCAUCAUCCUGCGCCAGCCAGGGGCAAGCGGAGCCUCAGUUGCUCCCAAACCCACGCCCGCCUCUCCUUCCUCUCCUCCUCCACAGGCUUUCAUUUAUUUACUUAAGUAUUUUUAGCCCAGUAGCAGUUUCCAGUCCAGCGGCUCCUCAGAUCUUUCGCCGGCUGUCCGCCCCACCUGUCCGUCAGCACGCGAGCCAAUGAGCGGGCGAGGGCAGCGCUGUGCCCCGCCCCUGAGCCGGCAGCCCAGUCUCGGGAGCCCGGGGCCGCCUGGGCCUCCUGCCCGCCGCGCUCGAGUCUGGAGCUCGAGAGUGACACUGCGCAUGUGCGGGCGUCCUGCGCAUCUCCUACGGCCUCCAGGACAGAGGAACCGGGGGAGGCAGGGGGAAAAGGCCGGCCCAGCAAUUCCCCUACCCCCCGGUCCCACGUGUACCCUCCUGGCCUGGGUCGCCCCAGCCCACGGGGAGCGGGCGGAGUCCUGGCCCACGAAGCCUUGUCACCUGGCGGGCGAAUCCGCAAGCGGAGACUUGUCUUUAAAGGGCUUUGGGCCGGGCGCGGUGGCUCAUGCCUGGAAUCCCAGCACUUUGGGAGGCCGAGGCGGUGGAUCACGAGGUCAGGAGUUCAAGACCAGCCUGGCCAAGAAGGUGAAACCCCGUCUGUACUAAAAAUACAAAAAAAAAAAAAAAUUAGCAGGGCGUGGUGGCGGGCGCCUAUAAUCCCAGCUACUCGGGAGGCUGAGGCAGAGAAUUGCUUGAACCCGGGAGGCGGAGGCUGCAGUAAGAUCGCGCCACCGCACUCCAGCCUGGGCGAGAGAGGAGACUCUGUCUCAAAAAAAAAAAGGGAGCGGGGGGGCUUUGGUCUGUGCAGGAGCUUCCCGGAGAUGCUUUAGAGCUGCGUUUGCAAAGUGCAGCGCCAAAUGCUGCAGAGAGGUGGGAGUCAGAGGAGAGGAGGACUGCGGUCCCAAACCCUAGCAGUUUAGUCUGUCGGGGAGGAGAGGAAGGGAACCCGGAGAGCACUUGUAAGCUACAGUGCUGAAUAUGAGGAGGUACUGAAUUGAGCAUCAAAUGCUGAGAGUUAAAGAAUUCUCCCUAGGGACCAGCCAGCUAUUAUCUGGAAGCAGUGAGUUUGGAUAGAGCCUGGAAGCACGGGUAGCAUUGCUGUUAGCAAUAAAAGGUGAACGUGUUAACAUUCACUGCAAUUCGUUGUAUACACUAUUAAAAUAUAACUUGCUCAAUUCAGGGGCGGUGAGUAAAGUAAAGGAGUCAGAGCUCCUAAUUAUUGGAGAGGCCAGGGAAAGCUUCACAGAAUUCAAGCUUGAGUAGGGUUUUGUUGAAAGGGAAGGAUAUACAAAGCAUUGAAUGUAUGCAAAGUUCAGCUAAAGUAAACAGUCCUUUUUGUGUUAGGCAGAGUGCUAAAAGUACUCUGGCUAUAACGAAGACUACAACACCACCUUCAGGGACUUUAGCGUCUGUGGAGACUUGAACAUCUAAUGUUAGAAAUAUUCUCAGAAUUCUGAGACAGCCACCUAGCCUGGCCUUCAGGGAGAUCUUCCAGGAAGAGGAAAUAACACAGAAAGUGUGGUAUAUUUAAAUAUACCUAGCCAGGCGCGGUGGCUCACACCUGUAAUCCCAGCACUUUGGGAGGUCGAGGCCAGUGGAUCAACCGAGGUCAGGAGUUCGAGACCAGCCUGACCAACAUGGUGAAAGCCGUCCCUACUAAAAAUACAAAAUUAGCCAGGCAUGAUGGCGCAUGCCUCUAAUCCCAGCUACUUGGGAGGCUGAGGCAGAAGAAUUGCUUGAACCCAGGAGGCAGAGGUUGUAGUGAGCCAAGAUUGUGCCAUUGCACUCCAGCCUGGGUGACAGAGCCAGACUCCGUCUCAAAAAAAAAAAAAAAAAAAAGGUUGAGGGCAUGGUGAGGGAGGGGACUUUUUUUAAAAGCUCUUCAGGAGAUAGGGUUGAGAGAACCUGUUUGCUGGUGUCUAGGGUGACUACCAAGUUUGAGGCUGUGGUAACUAAGGUAAGUGUUACAGACUGAAUGUUUGUGUACCCCCAAAUGCAUUUGUUGAAAUCCUAGCCCCCAGUGUGAUGGUAUUAGGAGGUGGGGCCUUUGGGAGGUAAUUAGGUCAUGAGGGUGGAGCCCUCAUAAAUGGGAUUAGUGCUCUUAUAAAAGGGACCCCAGAGAGUUCUCUAGCUCUUCCUGCCCUGUGAGAUACAAGAAGUUGGCAGGCUGCAACCUGGCAGAGGGCCCUCACCUGAGCCUGACCAUGCUGGCACAUGAUCUAGGACUUCUAGCCUCCAGAACUGUGAGAAAUACAUUUCUGCUGUUUAACCCACCCUGUCUAUGGUACUUCACAGCUCAUACUGACUAAGGCAGCAGAACAUACAGGAGGAAGAGGAGCAGGUUUCACAGAGGGAAGACAUGAGUUCAAUUUUGGACUUCUCAGUAGUCGGUGUCCUCAGUGGUAGCAACUUCAAACGGAAGGUGUCAAAAGUCAAAUUCUGGAGAGUUGAGUAUGAAUGGGAGAUGAAGAAAAGGAGGCAGCACUUGUAGCCUGCUCUUAAUGUAUUUCUGCACUCUACACUAGCAGCCUAUUACACAGGACACUUGGAUGUCUCCUAGAUAUCACAAAUUCAGCUUCAAAAAUGAAUUCUUCUAGGUAUAUGGAAAGAUGUGAAGAAGAAAAUAUAGCAAUAAGUUAGGUGGUAGGUAUAUGGUUGUUUACUGUACAAUCUGUCAGUUUUUCUGUAUUUUUGAAAUUUUUCAUGAUAAAAUAUUAAGAAAAAAGUAGUGGGCCCAUCCUCUUUACCCUCCAACUAUUCUUCUUCCCAUGUGCCCUAUUUCAAUAAAUAGAACAACUGUUUAGUCAGUUGUUUAGGCCAGAGAAUAUCAGAGUUGUUAGGCCUGGGAAUAUCAUUCUUCAGUUUCUCUCCUUUUUCCUUGUAGUCUAAUCAGUCGCCAAGUCUCUCUCUUUUUUUUUUUUUUUAAGAUGGAGUUUCACUCUUGUUGCCCAGGCUGGAGUGCAAUGGCGUGAUCUCGGCUCACCGCAACCUGUGCCCCCUGGGUUCAAGUGAUUCUCCUGCCUCAGUCUCCCAAGUAGCUGCAAUUACAGUCAUGCACUACCACGCCCGGUUCAUUUUGCAUUUUUUUAGUAGAGACAUGGGGUUUCUCCAUGUCGUUCAGGCUAGUCCCGAACUCCUGACCUCAGGUGAUCCGCCUGCCUCAGCCUCCCAAAGUGCUGGGAUUAUAAGCGUGAGCCACCGUGCCCAGCAAUAGAGUUACACCUUACACCAAAGUUAGGUUAUAAGUCAGUACAUAAGGCCAAAAUUACAUAGUUAACAUAACCUUUGAAAAUCCCUGGCCGGGCGCUGUGGCUCACGCCUGUAAUCCGGGCACUUUGGGAGGCCGAGUUGGGCGGAUCACCUGAGGUCAGGAGUUUGAGACCAGCCUGGCCAACAUGGUGAAACCACGUCUCUACCAAAAAUACAAAAUUAGCUGGGUGUGGUGGCGUGCCUCUGUAGUCCCAGCUAUUUGGGAGGCUGAGGCAGGAGAAUCACUUGAACCCAGGAGGCAGAGGUUGCAGUGAGCUGAGAUCAUGCCAUUGCACUCCAGCCUGGGCGACAAGAGUGAAACUCUGUCUCAACAAACAAACAAAUUAAUAAUAAAAGUAUGCAAAACAUAAAUGUAUUAUAGCUCAAUGGAUGGUUAUAAAAUGAACCUCCUGCAACAAAUGCCUAAGUCAAGCCAAAGCAUCCCAGAGGCCCCCACAGUGCUGCUUCCUGAUGACGCCCUCCUCCCGUGCCCAUGAAGGAAUCCUGCUCCCUUGAUAUUUAGAGUUAUCACUCAAUCGCUUGUUAAAACUAGUUUACCCCUAAAAAUGAACCCUAAAAGCAGUCAUUUUGGAUUUUGUAAACAGCUUUAUUGGAUAUAAUUCGCAUACCAUUAAUUCACCCAUGUAAAAUGUACAAUUCAAUGGGUUUUGGUAUAUUACAUUAUUAAUUUUUAAAAAGUAUGGUAAAAUAAAUGUAAGGGCGGUGGCUCAUGCCUGUAAUCCCAACACUUUGGGAGACCGAGGUGGGCAGAUCACCUGAGGUGGGGCGUUUGAGACCAGCCUGACCAACAUGGAGAAACCCCAUCUCUACUAAAAAUACAAAAUUAGGGCCAGGCACGGUGGCUCACGCCUGUAAUCCCAGCACUUUGGGAGGCUGAGGUGGAUGGAUCAUAAGGUCAGGAGUUCGAGACCAGCCUGGCCAAGAUGGUGAAACCCCGUCUCUACUGAAAAUACAAAAAAAUUAGCCGGGCAUGGUGGUGGGCGCCUGUAAUCCCAGCUACUCGGGAGGCUGAGGCAGGAGAAUCAGGAGAAUCGCUUGAACCUGGGAGGCAGAAGUUGGAGUGAGCCGAGAUUGUGCCUGGGCAACAAGAGCGAAACUCUGUCUCAAAAAAUAAUAAUAAAAUAGGCUGGCGCAGUGGCUCAUGCCUGUAAUCCCAGCACUUUGGGAGGCCGAGGCAGACGGAUCACCUGAGGUCGGGAGUUCGAGACCAGCCUGACCAUGGAGAAACCUCAUCUCUACUAAAAAUACAAAAUUAGCCGGGUGUGGUGGUGCAUGCCUGUAUUCCCAGCUAUUCAGGAGGCUGAGGCAGGAGAAUCACUUGAAUCCGGGAGGUGGAGGUUGUCAUGAGCCAAGAUCACACCAUUGCAUUCCAGCCUGGGCAACAAAAAGUGAAACUCCGUCUCAAAAAUAAAUAAAUAAACAAAUGUAUGACAAAAUUUGCCAUUUUAACCAUUUUUAAGUGUACAACUCAGUGGCAUUAAUUAUAUUCACAAUAUUGUACAACCGUCACCACUAUCUAUUCCAAAACUUUUCCAUCACCCCAAACAGAAGCUCUGUAACCAUUAAGCAAUAACUGGCAUCCCCCCUCCCUUUAGCCCCUGAUAACUCCUAAUAUACUGUCUUUAUGAAUUUGCCUAUUCUGGGUACCUCAUAUAAUGUGCCUAUAAUAUUUGUCCUUUUGCAUCUGGCUUAUUUCACUUAGCAUAAUGUUUUCAAGGCUCAUCCAUGUUACAGCAUGUAUCAGAACUUCAUUCCCUUUUAUGGCUGAAUCAUAUUCCAUUGUAUGUGUAUACAUACAAUGUGUGUAUAUGCCACAUUUUGCUUAUCCAUUCAUCUGUUGAUGGACAUUUGGGUCGUUUUCAUCUUUCAACUAUUGUGAAUAAUGCACAAUUAUUUCAUUUUGCCAAUUUUUGAACUUCAUAAGAAUGGAAUCAGAAUAAUUACAACAUAUUUUUUGUGCAUGUCUGACUUUUUAAAUAUGCAUUCAUGUUAUUUUAUAUACCUGUAGUUCAUUCAUUUUCUUUUCUUUUCUUUUCUUUUUUUUUUUUUUUUUUUUUUUUUUUGAGACAGGGUUUUGCUCUUGUUGCCCAGGCUAGAGUGCAGUGGUGCAAUCUUGGCUCAGCGCGAUCUCAGCUCACUGCAACCUCCGCCUCCUGGGAUUCUCCUGCUUCAGCCUCCCAUGUAGUUGGGAUUACAGGCGCCUGCCAAUACGCCUGGCUAAUUCUGUAUUUUUAGCAGAGACAGGGUUUCUCCGUGUUGGUCAAGCUGGUCUCGAACUCCCGACCUCAGGUGAUCUGCCUGUCUCAGCCUCUCAAAGUGCUGGGAUUACAGGCGUGAGCCACCACGCCCGGCCUCAUUUUCAUAUGGAAUUCUAUUUCAGAAAUAUGCCAAUUUAUCCAUUCUACUGUUGAUAGAUACAUGAAUUGUUUCCAGUUUUAAGCUAUUUCAAAUAUGCUAUUAUAAAAAUGGUAGAUAUUGCAUGAAUUUCUGUCAGGUAUACAGCUAGGAGUUAAAUGGCUGGGUCAGAGUUUAUUUGGCUUAACUAGAGAAUGCCAAAGUGGUUGUACUAAUUUUUCUUCCCACAGGCAGUGUAUGAGAGUUCCACUUGUUCUACACCCUCUCCAAUUCUUGAGGUUGUCAAUGUGGUUAGCCAUUCUGGUGAGUUUGUGGUGCAAUGGUACCUCAGUAUGGGUUUAACUUGCAUUUCUGUGUUUAUAAAUGAGGUUAAACACCUUGUGAUAUGUCAAUUGAUCAUUUGGAUAUCUUCUGUGAGAUGCCUGCUCAAGUCCCUUGCCUAUCUUCUGAAAGUGUUAUUGUUUUAUUUGCUCAUUUAAGAUUGGUAACCACCUGGAGUUGAUUUUGACAUUUACUGGGAGGUAGAGGGUCAUGAUUCAUAUUAUUCCGUUUGGAGAUUCAGUUAUUCCAGCACCAUGUGUUGAAAAGACUGUUAUGACCCCUCUGCAGGCCAUGUUUGUCAUAAAUCAAGUGUCCAUAUUUGCAUGGGUCUAUUUAUGGACCUUCCAUUCUACUAUCUGUUCCUCCUUGCACAAUACUGCACAGUUGGUAGCUUUAUAUUAAAGUUUGAUAUUUAUAGGCCAAGCACUCCCUCCCAAUUUGUUCUUCAGGAAAGUCUUGGCUAUUGUUUAAUGACUGGACACAAAUUGUAGGAACAGUAUAUACAGAUUCUUUAAGUAAGUCUUAAAAAUGGAAAAGCCACCCAGGUGUGGUGGCCCACUCCCGUAAUCCCAGCACUUUGGGAGUCCAAGGUGGGCAGAUCACCUGAGGGCAGGAGUUCGAGAUCAGCCUGGCCAACAUGGUGAAACCCCGUCUCUACUAAAAAUACAAAAAAAUUAGCUGGGUGUGGUGGCCUGUGCCUGUAAUCCCAGCUACUCUGGAGGUGGAAGCAGGAGAAUCGCGUGCACCCAGGAGAUGGAGGUUGCAGUGAGCCGAGAUUACGCCACUGCACUCCAGCCUAGGUGACAGAGUGAGACUGUCUCAAAAAAAAAAAAAAAAGAAAGAAAGAAAAGCCAUGUUGUAAUCCUUUUCUGAACAGUCAUUCCAGUGACUUUCCAGCUUAGAAGUUGGUAGUGGUUGGCCGGGAGUGGUGGCUCACGCCUGUAAUCCCAGCACUUUGGGAGGCCAAGGCAGGAGGAUCGCCCAAGGUCAGGAGUUCAAGACCAGCCUGGGCAACGUGGUGAAACCCUGUCUCUACUAAAAAUACAAAAAGUAGCUGGGCAUAGCGGUGCAUGCCUGUAGUCCCAGCUACUCAGGAGGCUGAGGCAGGAGAAUCGCUUGAACCCAGGAGGGGGUGGUUGCCAUGAGCCAAGAUGGCGCCACUGCACUCCAGCCUGGGCAGCAAAGUGAGACUCUGUCAAAAAAAAAAAAAAAACAAGAAGUUGGCAGCACUGUCCAACACAGUAGCCACCAGCCACUUGUGACUACUGAGCACUUGAAAUGUGAUUGGUCUGAAUUGCAGUGUACUGUAAGUGUAAAAUACACAAUGGAUUUCUACAAUAAAGGAUGCAAGAUAUCAAUAUUUUUCCUGUUGUUUACAUGAAAACUUGGAGGUAUACUGGAUUAAUGAACUCUCUCUCUCUCUCUCUCUAUAUAUAU